ACGCUCGACACCUACGGGAGGCAGCAGUAGGGAAUCUUCCACAAUGGGCGCAAGCCUGAUGGAGCAACACCGCGUGAGUGAAGAAGGGUUUCGGCUCGUAAAGCUCUGUUGUUGGAGAAGAACGUGCGUGAGAGUAACUGUUCACGCAGUGACGGUAUCCAACCAGAAAGUCACGGCUAACUACGUGUCAGCAGCCGCAGUAAUCUGAGCGGGCUGGCAAGGC
RNAcentral lists this ribosomal RNA (223 nucleotides) under uncultured bacterium. RNAcentral describes it as "partial 16S ribosomal RNA". It matches the Rfam family "Bacterial small subunit ribosomal RNA", at positions 328 to 539 of the family's 1533-position model. The record is from RNAcentral.